UUUAUUUUGUUGUGCUCUUUCAAUGCCUACGUAUGGACUAUCCAGGUCAAUUCGCUGGAUGCUCCAGUGUAAACAGGAAGCUUGAAGCUAUUUCAGAAUGGGUAUUAGACAAAGCUGACGUACCAUGCGAAAAUGGCCUGAGCUCAUGCACGUCCCUUAACGUUUGGGAGCCCUGUUCCUUUCAAGAUCAAUUAGUGAUGCUGCCACUAGAAUUAUUCACUCUAAAAGCUGAGGAGAUUGCUACUCAUAUAUUUAAUUUCGAAGUUUGGCAAAAUUUGUCACCUGAAAAUAAGGGAGAGUUAAAUAAAUAUUUGCCAAAUACAUCAGAUCCAACUGAAUCAGACUCGAUUGUGAAAUGGAUUUUUUCCAGAGAAAACGUUAAAUUUGGAAAUCCUGUAUAUCAGUUCAUCAAGAAGUUAUUAAGUGGUGAAUACCAUUUGAUGAUCUCUCGAUUAAAAAAUAAAAUUCGAGAAGUUGAGAAGAAACUCCAUCAUCUUUCAAUGAAGUCAUAUCAUAUUCGUUUAAUUCGAUUUGUCCUAGAAUACAAGAGAAAAAUAGGUCUUCGAGUAGAUGAUAACUUGCUUAACUUUUUUCGUCAGCUGCCAUCUGACACAGAUAAAGAGGCAUUCCGUUAUUUAUCUCGAGCCAGAAAUCGUUUACUAAUGCGCGUGAGAAGACGACACAGCGGAAUCCAAUUAUCAGAAUUGAUAGGGCAAAUAUCGAAUGUUAUUUCGAAUUUGGAGCAGGAGUUGUUGAAAAUAAGUCGACUCAAAUCGAGCUCAAGCACCGAAGACAUGCCAUCUAUUGAUGGAUGGAUGGCGGAUUCAUUGAGUCCCGAUUCACUAAAUCCAGACCCUAUAUCCUAUCAAAUUUCUUCGCUAUUGAAAAAUCCCUUACUAUCUAAUUCAUUAUCCACGGCACAUAAUUUAAGUGGCUAUAGUUGGAUUUCAUGUCCAACGUUGCUGUCAGAUGACAUUUACAUUCAUCUAGAAGAUGAGCUUGAUGACGACGAUUCGGACAUAGCGUCUCUUCAAAAUAUUUCGUGUGAUCAACUAUCAAACAUGGAUAAUUUUUUGUUAAUGAAUGACGAAGACGGUUUAAUUGACGAUAAAAAAUUACUAAAACAAAAUCUUCUAUUGAAAAACAAAAAGAGAAAGCGCGAAGAACUGAAUGAAGCUGAUUCGACGAUGAUGAUGUCCCUUACUUCUAAGAAAAAGCGUGAAAAGAGAAAAGAGCGUAGGAAGAUGCUACCCGUAUUACCAUUUGAAGAAGUAUUUUCACUUUUUCCGACGAUCAAGCGAGAAAUGGAAAAGCAUGCUCCUAGUCCCGUCUCUUUUGAAACUCUGUAUCAUGCGAUUGAAAAAGAGCCUAAAUUGAUGGCACAGAUACCUGUAGGCUACGAUUUAACUCAAGUAUUGGUAUUUGCAUUAAACAUUCUUCAGAAGCCACCUGCAGACUUUGUACAAAUGAGUAAUAACGGUACAGUUGCCAAUAGUAAAGGUGGUUCCAGUCAAGCUGAAGCACAUAGUCAGGACUUUAAAAACGAAGAUAAGAAUAUCGCAAGUAAACAGGCCCUCAACUCUGCGUCAUUCUCAAAUCAGUCUUCUUCAUCUCCACUUUCACCAUUUGUUGUGGAAGUCGAUCCUGGUGCUUCUGGUUCUACAUUGUCUGGUAUGUCUUCUGAUCAUACACAUGCUUCUACUUCUUCUACCUUGACAUCUGGAAUAUCUAGCCCUUUUUUGUUUAAUUCUGUUAAAGAUAAACUUUAUGCCUGGAAUCUGCCAUCGUCGAAUCUACUUGCUGAUCGUUUAGAGCAGUUGGAAAUUAUAUUUUUCUUUUCCCUGACUAGAAACCAACUCUCCCCUGACCACUUGGAGCUCGAAUUUAAUAUGUCGAAACAGAUGAAGGCACCCCAAACGCUUGAACCUAUACCUGAACAUGUGAGCAAGGAGUUUCGAGAACAAGAACUCGUUCGAUUUGCAAACGCUGAAUUUCCCUUUGUAUACCAUUUUUCUAACCCACCCAAGGGUCACUCGUCCAAAGUCAUUGCACCACCCUUGCGCAACCAAGUUUCAACAUUACGGCCGAAUACGUCUCUGCGCACUGAUCGGCCAGCUUUUGUAAGUUUGCUUGCAUUGGUCAGAGAUGCACUGUCUCGUUUACCAGGAGGUGUAGGUACUCGCCCAGAUGUUACGCUUUUGCUUAAAGAUUCACAAUACGUCUUAGACAACGUAGAAGCUACACAGCUUAAUUCCGUCGUUAGCGGCGGCCUAGAUCGACUUCAUUCUGAGUAUGAUCCUUGUGUUCGCUUCGAUAAUGACCUGAAGCUUUGGAUAAACCUACAUCGCCAGCGAAAUGAGCAAGACCACAUUCGUAUGAAGGAUAUCGAGGAGAAAUCUAAACUGCUUGAUUUCGGCCAUUCCUCUUCUGCAUCUUCAUCAAUUGCUUCACCUCCGUCUGACCCGGUGUCAUCAAAAUCAUCCCAACCCGUCAAUUACAAACAGUCCUCAUAUCUACAUAGUCAUAAUUCCGGCCCCAAAGCCGGAAAACAGUCCAGCUCUUCGUCUGAGCAACAAAAGGAUGGAAACGUAUCUUAUUCUUGUGUGCUCAGUGAGCGAUAUACAACUACAGAAGAUGGUAAAAAUAGUUCGAGCUAUUUAAGAAAUGCACUUGCGGAUCCGGACAUUACGAAGAGCACACCUUACGAAGGCUUUCAUGACGACGACGAAAUAAAGUCCUGAUGUUUCCAUAUUAUUAAAAUGUUCAUGCAGUACCACUCCUCCGACUAGCUCAUCAAACAGGCCUAAUAGUCUCGAAUACUUAUUAAUUUCCUUUUUUAUUGUGCGUUAUUUAUUAUGCUUGACUCAGUACUAAUACGUAGUGUUAUUAAAACGGAGGUGCUGUAAUAUAGAUGUUGCAUGCCAUACUAAAAUAAAAACUUCCAUGGUGUCAUAUAUAUUCAUUUUCCGUCUUAUUCGGUCGCUGGCAAUUUUUCUUCUGCAUACAUGUUCUUGCACGAUUGCUCUAUCCGUUGUGUUGACGAAAAAUUUUUAGAUUUUAACGGCUGAUACCAUUGUUUAUCUUGUUUUUUAACAACUCUUUCAAAUGAAGUCUAAAUUCUUACCGCUUAACGUCCGAGAUCUGAGGCGUUGUAGCCGAAUUAUUAAACUUUCUCGUUCGGCUUAUGAUUAUUGCGCCUCUGGGUCGAGAGACCAAUUUACGUUGAAGCAAAAUCUAAAAGCAUACCAAAAUUAUAAUAUCAUACCACGUGCAUUAGUAGGAGGUCUAUCCUCCGCGAAUACAAGAACCGCUAUUCUUGGAGAGUCUGUUGAUUUUCCUGUUUUGAUAGCGCCAACGUCUAUGCAUAAAUUAAUGCACCAAGAUGGUGAAGUUGCUACUUAUAAAGCGGCUCUUAAAAUGAACACGAUUUAUUGCAUGAGCAGUCUGGCGACAACUACAGCAGAAGAUAUAGCAAAGCACAGUGAUCGUUUACGCUGGUUUCAAUUGUAUAUUGCAAAGGACAGAGAACGAACCAAAAGAUUGGUUUUUAAAUUGACACAGCUGGGGUUCAAAGCAUUAGUUCUAACGAUCGACACACCAAUUUUGGGAGUUAGAGAAAAGGACAUAAUAAACGGUUUCAGCCUGCCAAAUGGGAUGCGGCUUGAAAACUUCGAAGAUGAUCCGAAUGCUGCUGUUUCAGGCGAGCAUGGGAUCAUGUCAGGCUUAAAUCGAUUUUUUCAUACCUCUGUUGAUAUGGAUUUAAAGUGGUCAGAUAUCAAUUGGUUGAAGAGCAUAACAAAUCUGCCUAUUAUUUUGAAGGGGGUUAUGUGCGCUGAUGAUGCACAGCUUGCUCUCGAUCAUAACGUAGCUGGAAUUAUUGUUUCAAAUCAUGGCGGCCGACAACUUGAUACAGUUCCAGCUACAAUUGAUGUCUUACCAGAAAUUGCCAAUGCGGUUUGUGGGCGUAUUCCUGUGCUUUUAGAUGGAGGUAUUCGUCGUGGAACGGACAUUUUUAAAGCUCUGGCUUUGGGUGCUAAUGCUGUGUUAAUCGGUAGACCCAUCUUGUGGGGCUUAGCGUACAAUGGUGAAUCUGGCGUUGAACUUGCCCUAAAUUUUUUGAAAACAGAGCUUCUAGAAACUAUGAUCUUAAGUGGUACUCGUUCUAUUGACGAAAUUCAGGCAAAGCAUAUAAGAAGAGCAAUUUAGUUCAGAAGAGCUCUUUAUGUAUAAAUUAAA
RNA transcript from Schistocerca gregaria, 4236 nucleotides. It is a transcript of the gene named 2-Hydroxyacid oxidase-like, with no coding region annotated. The record is from RefSeq and is a predicted model, not a curated record. NCBI's taxonomy places the organism in Eukaryota, Metazoa, Arthropoda, Insecta, Orthoptera, Acrididae. The transcript has 6 exons.